GAUGAACGCUGGCGGCGUGCCUAAUACAUGCAAGUCGAGCGAACGGACGAGAAGCUUGCUUCUCUGAUGUUAGCGGCGGACGGGUGAGUAACACGUGGAUAACCUACCUAUAAGACUGGGAUAACUUCGGGAAACCGUAGCUAAUACCGGUUAAUAUUUUGAACCGCAUGGUUCAAAAGUGAAAGACGGUCUUGCUGUCACUUAUAGAUGGAUCCGCGCUGCAUUAGCUAGUUGGUAAGGUAACGGCUUACCAAGGCAACGAUGCAUAGCCGACCUGAGAGGGUGAUCGGCCACACUGGAACUGAGACACGGUCCAGACUCCUACGGGAGGCAGCAGUAGGGAAUCUUCCGCAAUGGGCGAAAGCCUGACGGAGCAACGCCGCGUGAGUGAUGAAGGUCUUCGGAUCGUAAAACUCUGUUAUUAGGGAGGAACAUAUGUGUAAGUAACUGUGCACAUCUUGACGGUACCUAAUCAGAAAGCCACGGCUAACUACGUG
Molecule: ribosomal RNA, 497 nt
Filed under: uncultured bacterium
Lineage: Bacteria
Description: partial 16S ribosomal RNA
Rfam family: Bacterial small subunit ribosomal RNA
Source: RNAcentral